This 468-nucleotide ribosomal RNA is filed under the name uncultured bacterium. RNAcentral's name for it is "partial 16S ribosomal RNA". It matches the Rfam family "Bacterial small subunit ribosomal RNA", at positions 28 to 507 of the family's 1533-position model. The record is from RNAcentral.
GACGAACGCUGGCGGCGUGCUUAACACAUGCAAGUCGAACGGAAAGGCCCUGCUUUUGUGGGGUGCUCGAGUGGCGAACGGGUGAGUAACACGUGAGUAACCUGCCCUUGACUUUGGGAUAACUUCAGGAAACUGGGGCUAAUACCGGAUAGGAGCUCCUGCUGCAUGGUGGGGGUUGGAAAGUUUCGGCGGUUGGGGAUGGACUCGCGGCUUAUCAGCUUGUUGGUGGGGUAGUGGCUUACCAAGGCUUUGACGGGUAGCCGGCCUGAGAGGGUGACCGGCCACAUUGGGACUGGGAUACGGCCCAGACUCCUACGGGAGGCAGCAGUGGGGAAUAUUGCACAAUGGGCGGAAGCCUGAUGCAGCAACGCCGCGUGCGGGAUGACGGCCUUCGGGUUGCAAACCGCUUUCGCCUGUGACGAAGCGUGAGUGACGGUAAUGGGUAAAGAAGCACCGGCUAACUACGUG